Molecule: ribosomal RNA, 214 nt
Filed under: uncultured bacterium
Lineage: Bacteria
Description: partial 16S ribosomal RNA
Rfam family: Bacterial small subunit ribosomal RNA
Source: RNAcentral
UACGUAGGGUGCAAGCGUUGUCCGGAAUUAUUGGGCGUAAAGAGCUCGUAGGCGGUUUGUUGCGUCGGCUGUGAAAUCCCCGAGGCUCAACCUCGGGUCUGCAGUCGAUACGAGCAAACUAGAGUGUUGCAGGGGAGACUGGAAUUCCUGGUGUAGCGGUGAAAGUGCGCAGAUAUCAGGAGGAACACCGGUGGCGAAGGCGGGUCACUGGCCC